RNAcentral lists this ribosomal RNA (1346 nucleotides) under uncultured bacterium. Its description in RNAcentral is "partial 16S ribosomal RNA". It matches the Rfam family "Bacterial small subunit ribosomal RNA", at positions 28 to 1381 of the family's 1533-position model. The record is from RNAcentral.
GACGAACGCUGGCGGCGUGCUUAACACAUGCAAGUCGAACGGAAAGGCCCUGCUUUUGUGGGGUGCUCGAGUGGCGAACGGGUGAGUAACACGUGAGUAACCUGCCCUUGACUUUGGGAUAACUUCAGGAAACUGGGGCUAAUACCGGAUAGGAGCUCCUGCUGCAUGGUGGGGGUUGGAAAGUUUCGGCGGUUGGGGAUGGACUCGCGGCUUAUCAGCUUGUUGGUGGGGUAGUGGCUUACCAAGGCUUUGACGGGUAGCCGGCCUGAGAGGGUGACCGGCCACAUUGGGACUGAGAUACGGCCCAGACUCCUACGGGAGGCAGCAGUGGGGAAUAUUGCACAAUGGGCGGAAGCUUGAUGCAGCAACGCCGCGUGCGGGAUGACGGCCUUCGGGUUGUAAACCGCUUUCGCCUGUGACGAAGCGUGAGUGACGGUAAUGGGUAAAGAAGCACCGGCUAACUACGUGCCAGCAGCCGCGGUGAUACGUAGGGUGCGAGCGUUGUCCGGAUUUAUUGGGCGUAAAGGGCUCGUAGGUGGUUGAUCGCGUCGGAAGUGUAAUCUUGGGGCUUAACCCUGAGCGUGCUUUCGAUACGGGUUGACUUGAGGAAGGUAGGGGAGAAUGGAAUUCCUGGUGGAGCGGUGGAAUGCGCAGAUAUCAGGAGGAACACCAGUGGCGAAGGCGGUUCUCUGGGCCUUUCCUGACGCUGAGGAGCGAAAGCGUGGGGAGCGAACAGGCUUAGAUACCCUGGUAGUCCACGCUGUAAACGGUGGGUACUAGGUGUGGGGUCCAUUCCACGGGUUCCGUGCCGUAGCUAACGCUUUAAGUACCCCGCCUGGGGAGUACGGCCGCAAGGCUAAAACUCAAAGGAAUUGACGGGGCCCCGCACAAGCGGCGGAGCAUGCGGAUUAAUUCGAUGCAACGCGUAGAACCUUACCUGGGUUUGACAUGGAUCGGGAGUGCUCAGAGAUGGGUGUGCCUCUUUUGGGGUCGGUUCACAGGUGGUGCAUGGCUGUCGUCAGCUCGUGUCGUGAGAUGUUGGGUUAAGUCCCGCAACGAGCGCAACCCUUGUUCACUGUUGCCAGCACGUUAUGGUGGGGACUCAGUGGAGACCGCCGGGGUCAACUCGGAGGAAGGUGGGGAUGACGUCAAGUCAUCAUGCCCCUUAUGUCCAGGGCUUCACGCAUGCUACAAUGGCUGGUACAGAGAGUGGCGAGCCUGUGAGGGUGAGCGAAUCUCGGAAAGCCGGUCUCAGUUCGGAUUGGGGUCUGCAACUCGACCUCAUGAAGUCGGAGUCGCUAGUAAUCGCAGAUCAGCAACGCUGCGGUGAAUACGUUCCCGGGGCU